UACGGGGGGGGCAAGCGUUGUUCGGAAUUACUGGGCGUAAAGGGCUCGUAGGCGGCCAACUAAGUCGGAUGUGAAAUCCCCAAGCUUAACUUGGGAACUGCAUCCGAUACUGGAUGGCUUGAAUCCGGGAGAGGGAUGCAGAAUUCCAGGUGUAGCGGUGAAAUGCGUAGAUAUCUGGAGGAAUACCGGUGGCGAAGGCGGCUGCCUGGACCAGCACUGACACUGAGGCACGAAAGCGUGGGGAGCAAACAGG
This 253-nucleotide ribosomal RNA is filed under the name uncultured bacterium. RNAcentral's name for it is "partial 16S ribosomal RNA". It matches the Rfam family "Bacterial small subunit ribosomal RNA", at positions 524 to 776 of the family's 1533-position model. The record is from RNAcentral.